Molecule: transfer RNA, 74 nt
Filed under: Planctomycetes bacterium RBG_13_46_10
Lineage: Bacteria; Pseudomonadati; Planctomycetota
Description: tRNA-Asp
Rfam family: tRNA
About the family: Transfer RNA (tRNA) molecules are approximately 80 nucleotides in length.
Source: RNAcentral
GGGGCCGUAGCUCAAUUGGAUAGAGCAUCGGACUGUCGAUCCGAAGGUUGAGGGUUCGAACCCCUUCGGCCUCG